AGUGACUCAAGGACUUUGAGACUGCGACCUGGCUUCGCUUGAUGACCUGGCUGCUGUGCAUGGCACCUUCCUGGUCACAUUCCCCAUCCCCUUUGGACUGGGUGGUUAUCCCAGUCACCACUGAAGAGGCUGCACGUACUGCCAAUCUGGGACACAUCCAAGGACUCAAAUGCCUAUCCAUCAAGAUGGCUGCAAGACUGCGUUGUGCU
Molecule: non-coding RNA, 209 nt
Organism: Pelobates cultripes (western spadefoot toad)
Lineage: Eukaryota; Metazoa; Chordata; Amphibia; Anura; Pelobatidae
Source: the annotation of a GenBank genome assembly